UUGCAUGGUUGUAUUUGUGAUGAAGUAC
This 28-nucleotide non-coding RNA is filed under the name Rattus norvegicus (Norway rat). Lineage: Eukaryota; Metazoa; Chordata; Mammalia; Rodentia; Muridae. The record is from RNAcentral.